This 1892-nucleotide long non-coding RNA is filed under the name Mus musculus (house mouse). Its description in RNAcentral is "long non-coding RNA chr16:40288095-40289987". Lineage: Eukaryota; Metazoa; Chordata; Mammalia; Rodentia; Muridae. The record is from RNAcentral.
UGUAAUAUUCGUAGUCAUUGUAAGGUCUUCUUAAUGAAAUAAUAACUAUAAAAAUGAUUGAUAUGAUACCAGAGAGAAGGUGGUUGGUUAAUACAUUUUCUAUCUUUUCAAAUUAGUUCUGUAUAUUUGAAAUGAUUCAUGUAUCUCUGGUCUAUUUCAGGUUUUAUAAGAUCCUAUAUAAUCUAUCCUGUAGUUUCUAAAAGAUUAUAAAUCCUAAAUUAGUUGAAAUACUCUCUCAGGAAUGUUUGCUUUCUUUAGUAAACAGAGCAAAGGGCUUGCCAUAUAAUAAUGGUGGAGUUUUAAGAUUAAACAUGGAAACUAUUUUCCUCCAGAUAACAUGACUAGAAAAUCCACAGAGCAGAAAAUAUGCUGUAUUUUCUGAUAGGGAAGGUUCAGGGACUUGAAAUAGAGGCUUUGCAUCAAGCUGUGUGGAAAAAAACCAGAAGAUAAAUUUUAAGCCUUAAAAUUUGGAGUCUAUCCAGGACAGUGGCUUUUUGUUCAGGGUUAACUUCACAUUAGUUUGAUUGACAUUUGCAAACAAUUAUGUCUUCCCAAUUCUCAAAAAAUCCAUAAAGUUAUCAGAAAUUAUAUUAUAUAUGCGUAUAUAAUGUAUAUGUAAUAUAUAUACAUUAAAAGACAUAAUAUAUCUGCAUUAUAUAGUCAUUGUUGUAUUCCAUAAAAAUGUUUUCUUGACUUCCAAAUGCUGAGCCAGUAUACUAGACUUACCUUUAAUCAUCUUACCCCUUAUAAGAAAUACUUACUACUUGCAGGGCAGAAUUAUCUAAUUUAGAAUAAAACUGUUAACAUUACAGAUUACUGGAGUAAUGAAGGAAAGAUAUUAGUGCUAAAGCAUUGGUUAAUUAAUAACUAAAAGUGAUGACCUUUUUGUUUGGCUUCUAAAUAUAUUUCCUUUUUUUUUUCCUGUUGGAAAGUUUGAGAUAUUCAUGUACACAAACAUGCAGGCACAAUCAGCCACAUACAAAUUCAGUUUCCUCUUUUCUUUAUUACUUAGCAGUAAAUAAAUUAAGCAGCUAAGGCAAACAAAACUAAUGUUUAUUAUUAAACAGAUAGGAAGGUAUGGAAUAGGAAGAAAUUGCUGAAGUGAAGUAGAUGGAAUUGUGAAGAAGGGUGAGGGGUAGCUCUAGCUGUUGAGUGGGCCCACACAAGGACAUCUACUCUCUUCCCAGGCUUCUUAGAACUCAGUUUCACCUUAUUCUCCUAGUUUCUCUAGAGUUGUUCAUUUUCAUGGGGCAUCUUAAGGCAUGCAUGCAUUAGCCCCAUGCAUGGAUUUGUCAUUCCUUCUGUGGAGUCCUCAGGAAACUGAUAUCACAGUAGGAAACAGAGGAGAACAUGACUUUCCCUGCCUACUUAAGACAUAGAUGGGGAAUUGUGGGCUUUGUAGCUAUCAGGUAUUUUGUAGUGUUCCAAGUAUUUUCAAAACUAACUCAUCUAAUUUUGAUCUGAUAGAAAAUAAGAGACUUCAAAUAUUGGCUGUCUCCUCAUUUCAUCUCAAAGGUAGGAGUCCAUUAUCUCUUUCAUCUGCUUAUUAAAUUAGUCUGAGUAUAAAAUGUAUAUGCAGUUCUUCUUAACAUAGAUAUCUGUAGAGUGCUAUUGAACCAUAGCCUGCAUGAAGAUUCUUAAGAACUGCAUUCCAGUGAAUGCCCCUGCUACCUUUCUAAUCAGAUAUAUUGGGAAGCUUUAGCCUAGGCAAGACUCUAAAGUUUCCUCACUUUCCUACCAGUUAGGAGAACCCGGUGCCCUAAAUAUUCAGACCUCUCAAGAUUCUUACAAGUGUUCCAGAGCAACCCUGAGUCUCUAAUGGAAUUUAUUGAAUGCCUAUUACUACUUAAGAAGUUGCAGGAGAGUUUAGGAAAAAUGCUAUAUUUAAAAGU